This 429-nucleotide ribosomal RNA is filed under the name Acidobacteriota bacterium. RNAcentral describes it as "Acidobacteria bacterium partial 16S ribosomal RNA". It matches the Rfam family "Bacterial small subunit ribosomal RNA", at positions 355 to 776 of the family's 1533-position model. The record is from RNAcentral. Lineage: Bacteria; Pseudomonadati; Acidobacteriota.
UGGGGAAUUUUGGACAAUGGGGGAAACCCUGAUCCAGCCAUCCCGCGUGUGCGAUGAAGGCCUUCGGGUUGUAAAGUACUUUUGGCAGGAAAGAAACGUUAUGGGUUAAUACCCCGUGAAACUGACGGUACCUGCAGAAUAAGCACCGGCUAACUACGUGCCAGCAGCCGCGGUAAUACGUAGGGUGCAAGCGUUAAUCGGAAUUACUGGGCGUAAAGCGUGCGCAGGCGGUUCGGAAAGAAAGAUGUGAAAUCCCAGAGCUCAACUUUGGAACUGCAUUUUUAACUACCGGUCUAGAGUGUGUCAGAGGGAGGUGUAAUGCCGCGUGUAGCAGUGAAAUGCGUAGAUAUGCGGAGGAACACCGAUGGCGAAGGCAGCCUCCUGGGAUAACACUGACGCUCAUGCACGAAAGCGUGGGGAGCAAACAGG